AUUGAACGCUGGCGGCAUGCCUUACACAUGCAAGUCGAACGGUAACGGGCCUUCGGGUGCCGACGAGUGGCGAACGGGUGAGUAAUACAUCGGAACGUGCCCGAUCGUGGGGGAUAACGAGGCGAAAGCUUUGCUAAUACCGCAUACGAUCUACGGAUGAAAGCAGGGGACCGCAAGGCCUUGCGCGGACGGAGCGGCCGAUGGCAGAUUAGGUAGUUGGUGGGAUAAAAGCUUACCAAGCCGACGAUCUGUAGCUGGUCUGAGAGGAUGAUCAGCCACACUGGGACUGAGACACGGCCCAGACUCCUACGGGAGGCAGCAGUGGGGAAUUUUGGACAAUGGGCGCAAGCCUGAUCCAGCCAUGCCGCGUGCAGGAUGAAGGCCUUCGGGCUGUAAACUGCUUUUGUACGGAACGAAAAGCCUUCUUUUAAUACAGGAGGGUCAUGACGGUACCGGAAGAAUAAGCACCGGCUAACUACGUG
Molecule: ribosomal RNA, 482 nt
Filed under: uncultured bacterium
Lineage: Bacteria
Description: partial 16S ribosomal RNA
Rfam family: Bacterial small subunit ribosomal RNA
Source: RNAcentral